RNAcentral lists this ribosomal RNA (679 nucleotides) under Projasus bahamondei. RNAcentral's name for it is "eukaryotic LSU rRNA". The stretch from base 249 to 679 matches the Rfam family "Eukaryotic large subunit ribosomal RNA", at positions 675 to 1195 of the family's 3401-position model. The record is from RNAcentral. Lineage: Eukaryota; Metazoa; Arthropoda; Malacostraca; Decapoda; Palinuridae.
GAAAUGAGACGGUCCUCGGCCUCGGCCUUGGACCAGGGCCGAUCCCCGGCUGGCUGCCUUGCUCUAACCGUCUGGUUUCCUCGUCGGGGUGAGUCCCUUUCCUCCCGGUCGUGGGAGCGAGUCGGUCGGUGGGCUUGGCGAAGGUCUUUUUAUUCUGUUGGGCAGGAGGGGCGCAGGCCCGGGACUUGCCUUAGACGCCGCCUGUUACCCAUGGGCGCGGCCUAUUCGUAGGUCGCGUCUUUUGGGGGCUAGCGUGCAGUCGGCAAGUACCAGGAGCAGGCAUGUUAGGACCCGAAAGAUGGUGAACUAUGCCUGGCCAGGAUGAAGCCAGAGGAAACUCUGGUGGAGGUCCGUAGCGAUUCUGACGUGCAAAUCGAUCGUCGGAGCUGGGUAUAGGGGCGAAAGACUAAUCGAACCAUCUAGUAGCUGGUUCCCUCCGAAGUUUCCCUCAGGAUAGCUGGAACUCGCCAUGAGAUGAAUUUCAUCCGGUAAAGCGAAUGAUUAGAGGUCUUGGGGACGAAACGUCCUCAACCUAUUCUCAAACUUUAAAUGGGUGAGAUGCCGAGCUUGCUUAAAAGAUGAAGCCUCGGCGACGAAUCCGAGUUCCUAGUGGGCCACUUUGGUAAGCAGAACUGGCGCUGUGGGAUGAACCAAACGUCCGAGUUAAGGGGCCUAAAUG